RNAcentral lists this ribosomal RNA (406 nucleotides) under uncultured bacterium. Its description in RNAcentral is "partial 16S ribosomal RNA". It matches the Rfam family "Bacterial small subunit ribosomal RNA", at positions 29 to 526 of the family's 1533-position model. The record is from RNAcentral.
AUUGAACGCUGGCGGCAGGCUUAACACAUGCAAGUCGAGCGAGCGGCGGACGGGUGAGUAAUGUCUGGGAAACUGCCUGAUGGAGGGGGAUAACUACUGGAAACGGUAGCUAAUACCGCAUACCAUAGGAUGAGCCCAAGGGGGAUUAGGUAGUUGGUGAGGUAAAGGCUCACCAAGCCGACGAUCUCUAGCUGGUCUGAGAGGAUGAUCAGCCACACUGGGACUGAGACACGGCCCAGACUCCUACGGGAGGCAGCAGUGGGGAAUAUUGCACAAGGGGGGCAAGCCUGAUGCAGCCAUGCCGCGUGUAUGAAGAAGGCCUUAGGGUUGUAAAGUACUUUCAGCGGGGAGGCGUUACCCGCAGAAGAAGCACCGGCUAACGCCGUGCCAGCCGCCGCGGUAAUAC